AGUACAAAGUAUAAUGUCCCAUAACGCCGAAACGCAUUCGAAAAGUUAUCGAAACGCAUCGCUAGAACAAUGAGCGCAUCAGAACAAAGUCGAUGCUUCGUUUGUUUUUGUUAUCGUUAUUAUUAUUAA
Molecule: long non-coding RNA, 129 nt
Organism: Rhagoletis zephyria (snowberry fruit fly)
Lineage: Eukaryota; Metazoa; Arthropoda; Insecta; Diptera; Tephritidae
Source: RefSeq, a predicted model, not a curated record